CUGGGGUGAGCAAGGUGAUAGUGUUUACAUCAGACAAGCCAGGGGGCAACAGUUGGGACACAGUUGUGCCCAAGGUCAGACAAGUUAUCAGGCAGCAAUAUUAUUCUCCACCACAACACACCAUCUUCAGUGAUUUCAGUGACUUCAAUAACAACUGGCAGUCAGCAUGAUGAGCAAACCACUAGUGGGUGUGCAGGACUAUGAACGGGAGGCUCGCUGGCGCCUGCCUAAGACUGCCCUUGACUACUAUCAGUCAGGUGCCCUGGAUGAAGUCACCCUCAAGGAAAACAAAGAGGCUAUGGACAGGUGGUACAUUCGGCCUAGAUUCAUGAGAGAUGUGUCAAAGCGCAGUCUGGCCACCACCCUGCUGGGUCACAAGGUUGCUGUACCAUUUGGAGUGGCCCCAACAGCCAUGCAGCGGAUGGCUCAUCCUGAUGGGGAAGUGGCCACAGCACGAGCUGCAGGACGGAUUGGUGCCCCCUUCACCCUAAGCACUAUCAGCACAUUCAGCCUGGAGGAGGUGGCCAUGAGAGCCCCAAACACACUGCGCCUCUUUCAGCUCUACAUAUACAAGGACAGAGAGUUGACAGCCUCCCUGGUCAGGAGGGCUGAGGCUGCUGGCUUCUCAGCACUGGUACUCACUGUGGAUGCACCAUACUUUGGCAUCCGCCGUGCAGAUGUCAGAAAUCAAUUCACACUUCCUCCUCAUCUCAGGAUGGCCAACUUCCAAAGUGAUGAGGCAGCAAGUAAUCACCUCCAUACCUCAGAUGGUGGCUCAGGGAUCAAUGAGUAUGUGGCCUCGCUGUUUGACCCAACGCUCACCUGGGAGGACGUGGCCUGGCUCAAAAGCAUCACCAAGCUUCCCCUGGUGCUCAAAGGGAUCCUGACAAGGGAGGACGCGAUACUGGGUGUGGAGGCUGGCGCUGCAGCUAUCUGGGUGUCCAACCACGGUGCUCGACAGGUGGAUGGUGUAGCCCCCACGGUUAUUUCCUUGAGAUUUCCCCAUCCCUUGUUCCCAGAUGGAGGCCCUUCCCGAGGUGGUGGAGGCAGUGAGUGACCGCUGUGAGGUGUAUGUGGAUAGUGGCUUCUCCCAGGGAGCAAAUAUCUUCAAGGCUCUUGCUCUUGGGGCAAACAUGGUGUUCAUGGGGCGGCCACUGCUGUGGGGUCUGGCCUGCGGGGGUGAGGAUGGAGCAUGGAGUGUGUUGGACACAGUACGGACAGAGCUGGAAUCCACCAUGGCACUGUCAGGGUGUCCCACAGUACCAGACAUCACCCGGGCAAUGGUGGUGCGCCGUGAGACCCGUGCUCACCUUUGAUGUACUGUGAUGCAGUUGGUUACUACUUGUACCUGCCACCUGCAGCUCACCACCCAACACACUACUGACUAACCAAUACUUGUACCUGCCACUUGCAGCUCACCACCCAACACAACACUCUCUGCUAUUUAUACAGUAGCUCCCAAAACUACCUUUAAAAAAUAAGAGGUCUACAUUCUGACACAAUUAUUUAACAUAAUUGGUGAAUACAGUAGCAACAGUUGGUAGCCCUGCACACUAGGGAUUAUUGCGGUAAAUUAUAACCUGGAAAGUAGAUCCGUACAAUAUAUCAGCAUAACAUCAAGCCAUGCAGCAGGUUUAGUUAAUUAUGCCACAGUUGGCACCACACUUUAAAGAUAGUUUUGGGAGCAACUACACCUGCCACCUGCAGCUCACCACCUAACACAAAUAAUUAGAAUGAGCUAUGUGUAGUUUUCCUCUCCAUCCUUGAUACUCCCUAUGAAAAGUGAAUAUUAAUCCACUCUAUUGCAGGCCAAACAUUACCUGAUAGCUGGUUUCACUUUCAAUUAAAGGCUUCUUUGGUG
Scylla paramamosain (green mud crab) is the source of this 1861-nucleotide RNA transcript. RefSeq lists it as uncharacterized. NCBI's taxonomy places the organism in Eukaryota, Metazoa, Arthropoda, Malacostraca, Decapoda, Portunidae. The record is from RefSeq and is a predicted model, not a curated record. The transcript is spliced from 10 exons.